AUGUGUGGCGUACAAAACACAAAACACUUGUUUUCUUGGUAUCAGACAACUCGAUCCUGCCUCCUCCAACCCCAUCGCUCAUCACCACCGAUUCAAUCUCGCAUCCAGCUCAUGUCGACCAUCUCAGGCACCGCAUCGGCUACUAGCCCCAGCCUCUCCUCCACCUUGCUCGCAGCCAUGAACUCCACCUCCGGCACCCUCGUCACCGCUGCUAUGCCCGCCUCCGCCUCCCCGGCAGUGCAUAUUGCUAGCGUGCGCACUCAUGUGCCCGUCACGCUCGACCUCCAUGCCUCGAACUUCACCAAGUGGCGGAUGAUCGUCCGCGUCCUCCUCGGCAAGUACGACUUGCUCCCUCACGUCAACGUCGUCACCGCCGCGGCGGACCGCACGCCGGACUGGACUCGCGAUGACUACGUCGUUCGGUCCUGGCUCUACGGGUCCAUCUCCGACGAAAUCCUGGACAUAAUCAUGGCGGAGGAUCAAACUGCCCAGGAAGCAUGGAUGCUCAUCACCAACCUGUUUCUAGACAAUCAGAUGACUCGGGCUGUUUACCUUGAGGCGGAGUUCCGAGGUCUCGUCCAAGGUGACCUCUCCAUCACAGCCUACUGUCAUCGCCUCAAGGCCCUUUCGGAUGCUCUCAGCGACGUCGGCACCCCCGUCUCCGACCAAACUCUUGUCCUCAACUGCCUCCGUGGACUCAAUCCGCACUUCUCCGACAUCACGACGAUCGUCACCAUGCAGAAUCCUCUUCCGUCGUUCAACCAGACGAGGUCCUUGCUGACCCUCCGCGAGACCCAGCUCGCGAACUCCGCCACGCUCGGGACCCAGACGGCUCUCUAUGGUGGUGCGCCUCCCCACGGCGCCAGCGGCUCCACCCCCUCUAGUCCUCACCGGGGCGACGGUGCUCGGCAUGGCUACAACUCCGGGGGUGGCUCCUCCGGUGGAAACCGCAAUGGAGGCAACUGGCGGAAGAAGAAGGGCGCCGGCGGCGGGAACGGCGGCCGCUCCAACUCCCACGAUGGGAAUCUCCAGCGCGGGGCCUCCUCCUCUGUCGGUCCCUGGGUCUGCUUCAAUCCCUAUACGGGGCAAGCCCAGCACCUUCAGACGCCCCCAGCAGCACGGCCCAGUGCCGGGGCCGGCCUCCUCGGGCCACGGCCUCCAGUUCUCCCGCCAGCCCAGGCGUUCACCUCCCUGGCCCCGUUGCACGGCCAGGCCUUCGGCAGCAAUCCGCCGCCAACUCCUGCAUACGGCGGCACCCCGGCGUGGGACUGCUCCGCCCUCCUCGCUGCCCUAAACAACACUGCGACUCCAUCAACAGUUGGUGAGUGGGUAAUGGACUCGGGAGCCACGGCACACAUGGCCUCCGACCCCGGAUCUUCGCACCAAGGCCGUGAUUCUUCGCUGCAAUAG
RNAcentral lists this ribosomal RNA (1410 nucleotides) under Triticum aestivum (bread wheat). Its description in RNAcentral is "partial small subunit ribosomal RNA". The record is from RNAcentral. Lineage: Eukaryota; Viridiplantae; Streptophyta; Magnoliopsida; Poales; Poaceae.